Molecule: ribosomal RNA, 372 nt
Filed under: uncultured eukaryote
Lineage: Eukaryota
Description: partial 18S ribosomal RNA
Rfam family: Eukaryotic small subunit ribosomal RNA
Source: RNAcentral
CAAUAGCGUAUAUUAAAGUUGUUGCAGUUAAAAAGCUCGUAGUUGAAUUUUUGCUUGCCGCCGAUGUCGGAACUUUCGUACGUUCGGCGGCGUGCAUCCUUGGGUGGAACCUGUGUGGCAUUAGGUUGUCGUGCAGGGGAUGCUCAUCGUUUACUGUGAAAAAAUUAGAGUGUUCAAAGCAGGCUUACGCCGUUGAAUAUAUUAGCAUGGAAUAAUAAGAUAGGACCUUGGUACUAUUUUGUUGGUUUGCGCACCGAGGUAAUGAUUAACAGGGACAGUUGGGGGUAUUCGUAUUCCAUUGUCAGAGGUGAAAUUCUUGGAUUUCUGGAAGACGAACUACUGCGAAAGCAUUUACCAAGGAUGUUUUCAUUA